CUACGGGAGGCAGCAGUGGGGAAUAUUGUGCAAUGGGGGAAACCCUGACACAGCGACGCCGCGUGAGCGAAGAAGGCCUUCGGGUCGUAAAGCUCAAUAGUAUGGGAAGAAAGAAGUGACGGUACCAUACGAAAGCCCCGGCUAACUACGUGCAAAAA
Molecule: ribosomal RNA, 158 nt
Filed under: Thermoanaerobacterium sp. enrichment culture clone gang 11
Lineage: Bacteria; Bacillati; Bacillota; Clostridia; Thermoanaerobacterales; Thermoanaerobacteraceae
Description: partial 16S ribosomal RNA
Rfam family: Bacterial small subunit ribosomal RNA
Source: RNAcentral